Molecule: ribosomal RNA, 3453 nt
Filed under: Triticum aestivum (bread wheat)
Lineage: Eukaryota; Viridiplantae; Streptophyta; Magnoliopsida; Poales; Poaceae
Description: partial small subunit ribosomal RNA
Source: RNAcentral
AUGGAGGUCUCCGCCUCCGCCUCUACGCCUCAAGCUCUCACCCUACUCACUUGCCCGCCUUGCUUCCUCUCUCUUUACCCUUCCGCCCGCCGGCACGGCCGCGCCGGCGGGGGAGGGCUCCUGCUGCGGCCUCCGCCUCGACGGAGGCUGGAGCUGGGGUACCGUGCCCGCCGCCCGGUGGCAUGCUCUCUCAGCGGCUCCUCCUCCACUGCGCUGGACGUGUUAGGCGGCUCGGUGGUCGCCGUGGCCGCUCUCCUCGCCGCCUUACAGCUGGUUUGGCUCAGGUGGCGCGGCGCAAUGCAUAGGGAAUCUCCGGAGGUUUUAUAUACACAGGUCAAAAGCAAUGUAAACAAGGCCCUCGGAAGAACAACACAAUCCAUACAUGAUAGUAAUGAUGCAUGUUGUGCAACUCAUGAAAAUAGCUUUUCAGAGCUAUCUAUUUCUGAAGGAAUGACUAUUAAUGAAUUGGAGUGCCGGGCUAGUAUUUCGUGCAUAUACCCUGUAAAUAAGACAACGCAGGCGGUUUCUGUAACUAAUCCAGGGGCAAUGUUACACACAUUAGUUGAUGUAUCUCGGCAAGAAGAAGUUGGUUGCUCAACUUCAGCAGAAAAAAGAAAUUCUACAGAAAAUGUUAUGGAUGUUCUUGCAACGCCUUAUUCUGGUCCACCAGGACAACAUAAAAGCAAGUAUGUCUCUAACAGAAUUGGCUGGCAAGGUGGGCUCUCGUACCAAUUUUUAUCCCUUUCAGAAGUACAGAAAGAUGCUCAAAAUGGCAAUGGUCUUGGUGACAGCCAAACAAACAGCAACAAUACUCAUUUACUUCGAUGCCAUCAGUGUAAUGAUGAUGAAAAUAUUGAUUUGACAUCUCUUUCAUCCUUCAAAAGAACAGUGGAAUGCCCUCUCAAUUUUGUUCCGCAAGCCAGUAUUGGAAAUUUGUUCAGACCAAGAAAAGCAAUUGAGUUUGCUGAUUCAUAUGUAGGGGGCUCUCAUCUGACACCAGGGAAAUUAGCUCUAUUUGCAUGCUUAAGGGAGGGUCCUGCCAGCAAACAACAGAAAGCAGUGAAAGACCAUGAUGAUGCAAAAACUAUUGGCUGGAGUAUUUCUGAUAUACUGAAUAAAGAGAAUCUAGAUAAAUUCAUUCCAGCGACAACAGCUGGAUUAAACGGCACAGUGGAUACAUCAGAUUACAUGAGGCGAUACAAGAGUUCUUUAACAGAUGGAAGGUUGAAGGACUGUGUGGAUUUGUUGGAAAGCAUGGAGCAGAAGGGAUUGCUUGAUACGAAGAAGAUCCACCAUGCCAGCUUUUUGAGUGCAUGUAAAAAACAAAGGGCUGUUAUGGAAGCUGUUCGCUUCUGCCGAUUGAUUGAAAAUCCGAAAAUGAGCACCUUCAAUAUGCUUUUAUCGGUUUGUGCUAAUUCAAAAGAUUUUGAAGGGGCCCUCCAAGUUAUGGUGCUCCUAAAGGAGGCUGGGCUAAAACCCGAUUGUAAACUUUACACCACAUUGAUAUCAACUUGUGCAAAGUGUGGAAAAGUUGAUGCGAUGUUUGAGGGUGGAACCCUAGGUGGACGAUCUUUCACGUUUGGAGGGGAUCCUACGGGGAUUCACGAAGAACGCGCGGAAGAACACGAGGAAAUCACGGGGAGGAACAAGGGAAAACACUCAACCAACAAGGAAUCGGUCACACAAGUGCUAGAUCAAAGAACACAAAGAGAUACACGAGAUCCAAAGUCAACAAAGGUCUUCCAUGAGAUGGUUAGUGCUGGAAUAGAGCCAAAUGUUAACACAUACGGUGCACUAAUUGAUGGCUGUGCUAAAGCUGGGCAAGUAGCAAAAGCAUUUGGUGCUUACGGGAUCAUGAGUUCAAAGAAGGUGAAGCCAGAUCGAGUUGUCUUCAAUGCUUUGAUCAGUGCAUGUGGUGAAUCUGGAGCUGUUGCUCGAGCUUUUGAUGUUUUAUCAGAAAUGACAGCAGAAUCCUCAGAAUCGAAAGGAUGCAAGCCAAUUCUUCCUGAUCAUGUCACAGUUGGAGCACUCAUGAAGACAUGUAUUCAGGCUGGCCAGGCUGAUCGAGCUCGUGAGGUUUACAAAAUGCUUCGGGGGUACAGUAUAAAAGGUACUCCAGAAGUUUACACAAUUGCACUGAGAAGCUGUAGCUUGACUGGCGAUUUAGGGUUUGCAUUGAAGAUCUAUGAAGAUAUGAACAAGAUCGGAGUUCAACCUGAUGAGAUGUUUCUUAGUGCUCUAGUUGAUGUAGCCGGCCACGCUAGGAGGGCUGAUGCUGCUUUUGAAAUAAUCAAAGAUGUAAGAGCAAAGGGAUUUCAUGUUGGAAUCAUGGCAUACAGUUCCUGUAUGGGCGCUUGCUGCAAUGCCAAGGACUGGAAAAAGGCGCUGCAGCUAUUUGAGGAGAUCAAGGCUAUCAAAUUAAUUCCAACAGUUCCGAUGAUGAAUGCUUUAAUUACUUCCCUCUGUGACGGCGAUCAAGUUUUAAAAGCUGCUGAGGUCCUUAAUGAGAUAAAGGAACUACGUGUCCGUCCAAAUGAGAUAACCUAUUCGGUCUUAUGUGUGGCUUGUGAAAGAAAUGGUGAAGCACAACUAGCUCUUGAUUUAUUUGAGAAACUAAAAGUAGAUGGUAUUGGCCUCAAUCCCACCAUUGUCGGUUGUCUUACUGGUUUAUGCCUACAAAUGUUUUCCUAUGAUCUUUCACUUGGCAACAUCAUUGUCAGAUUCAACCAAGGGAAGCCACAGAUUGACAAUAAAUGGACUUCCUCAGCAAUUAUGGUUUUCCGUCAGGCAAUCACCGCUGGUCUGCUACCCUCAAGCGAUGUUUUAUCUCAAGUGCUGGGUUGUUUGAGGUUUCCUCAUGACAGUUCAUUGAAAACCACUUUCAUUGAUAAUAUGGGAAUAAGUUGUGAUAUGCCACAUCACCCCAAUACAAAUUCACUGUUGGAAGGAUUCGGUGAAUAUGAUAUCCGUGCUUUUUCAGUACUGGAGGAAGGUGGCUUGUUAGGAGCAGUUGCAAGCACUUCCACAAAAUACAGUCAAAUUGUCAUUGAUGCAAGAAAGUCAAACAUCUACACAGCCGAGGUUUCUCUUCUAUCGACAUUGAAGUCUUUGAAGCAUCGACUAGCUGCAGGUGCAAGGUUACCAAAUGUUACAAUUCUAUUACCCACCGAAAAGAAACAAGUUGAUCUUGAUGAAAGGGAGAAAACACUUAAACUUGCUGGAAGAGUCGGCCAAGCAGUUGGCUCCCUGCUGAGAAGAUUAGGAAUUAAAUAUCAAGGCGAGGAGUCCCACGGGAGGAUGAGGAUCAACGGCCUCACAUUAAGAAGGUGGUUUAACCCAAAAUUUACAAGCGCACCCCCCACAGGAGCUCCAGUUGAGUUGCUUCCACUGCCCUCGCGGUUAGCGAAAGGGAUUGCUGAUCAGCAGCGUGAUAUCAGAAGCCUUUCUCUAUAG